RNA transcript from Nasonia vitripennis (jewel wasp), 3364 nucleotides. It is a transcript of the gene named 4-hydroxybutyrate coenzyme A transferase-like, with no coding region annotated. The transcript has 4 exons. The record is from RefSeq and is a predicted model, not a curated record. NCBI's taxonomy places the organism in Eukaryota, Metazoa, Arthropoda, Insecta, Hymenoptera, Pteromalidae.
AGAAAAAGCCAGCGUCCAGUUUUUACAUUUACAUAAGAGUCACGUGAGCUCGCUCAGCUGUGUUUAUAUCAACGAAAUGUUACAUUCACAAAGAAGCAGUCGUGUUCGUGACAUUGACUGCGGCAGGAGUGAAGAGACUUGCCGCAGAGCCGCCGCGACCACUGUACAGAGAGAUUGGAUGCUGAUGCUGUGCUACUUUGAACAAUCGGAAGGCUGAAACCGGUUCUAACAAUUAACGUAACUGUGAUUUUAAAGGUGUCGACGGUGUUUUUACGUUGUCUCUAUGAGGUUAGAGUAAUUUUUAUUAUUUUCAUAAUAAUAAAUAAGUAACGUCCUGUUGUGAAGGUAAAAUAUAAAUAUCUUUUUGCCACAUUUUUCCGUGUAAACGUAAAAUCAGAAUUUUCAGUUUCCGAUUAUAACUCAUCGAUUUGUUAAUGGAAAAAAAACGAUUUUUUAAUCAUAAAUGAGCUUAAUAAUCUUUUACAUUGGAAUUUUCACAAACAGAUCAUCAACAAAAUAUGAAUCUUGUGCUAUUAAAUAAUAACGAAAUAUUUUUAAAGAUAACUUACCUUCCAAUAAAUUAUCUUGAGAAACCAAUUAGACAUGCAGACAAAGAAACGUUUCGUAAAUUCAAGUCACGAGGAUAAAAUUUAUAUUUGAUCUCUAUAAUGAAUGAAAUGCUCUUAUAAAUUUAUCAGUUAAUUUUAUUUCUAGAAAUUGAAAAAAAGGACAUUAAAAAUAUAAUUAGAUAAGAAUGGCUAAUGAUCAAGGAAUUAACUUACCAGCACUGCAUUUUGCUAUGCAAAUUAAAGAUUUAAAAAUGACGAAAAAUAUUCUAGAUAGUAGUAAGAAAUGUCUGGACUACAGAAAUCACAUGGGUGAAUCCUUAAUUCAUAUUGCUGUUAAAAAUAGAUUCAAUGAAAUGAUUCAUUGGCUUGUUAAUGAAGGGCUUGAUGUUGACAGUCUUGAUUUUAGCAAUAGAACUGCACUUCAUUUGGCAGUUACUAUAAAACAUGAAGAUAUGGUCAGAUGCCUCUUAGACUGCAAUGCAAGUAAUAAUGCAAAAGAUCUUUAUGGCAAAAGUCCUUUCCAUAUGGCUGUACAAACUGGUAAUAUUUCACUGAUUAAAAUGUUUGUAAAAUUUGGGGCUAAUGUUUUAGACAUAACAUUGAGUACUCAUCAAACAGCACUUCACCUCGCUUUGAAGAAUGAAGAUGAAGAGACAUUUAUGCUUCUCUUUAAUAAUCACGUAGGAGAUAUUAACACAGCAGAUGUGUAUGGAGAAACUCUUUUACAUAUAUUAGCAAGACAAAAAUCGGAAAAUUUAGCAAUGCUUCUACUCAAGAGAGGCGCGGAUCUCAAACUGUUGAACAAAGAUAAUGAGACUGCACUUCAUUUUGCCAUUCACAGCCGAAAUUACAACAUUUCUAAGAUUUUUGUAGAAAACGGCGCAGAUGUUAAUGCUAGAAACAAGUAUGGAGAAAGCCCGUUGCAUUUGGCAAUCAGAUACAAAGAUUUGAGACUUGUUAAUUUAUUGAUUAUUAAUAACGCAAAUUUAAGUGAGCAAACAAAUGACCAGGAUACCAUGCUUCACAUUGCAAUAAAUUAUUUUCACGCAGAUAUUGUCAAUCUUCUAAUAAAGUGUGGUGUUAAUAUUCAUCUUAGGAAUUCUUGGGAUUUAGAUCCUUUUCACUUGGCAAUCAAGAAUAAGUGCUUGGAUGGAGCAAAAAUACUGUUGAACAAAGGCGCUGAUGUAAAUUCUGUGGCAUUUGGAAAGUUCAUUGGCAACCACCCAAAAGGAAAUGAUGAGGAUCAAACCUUUACUCCACUUCACACUGCUAUUGUACAAAAAGACAUAGCUGCAGCUAAAUUACUCUUAGAAAAUGGAGCAAAACUUGACUUCAGUAAUAACUAUGAGAUCUUUUUAGCAGUUGAAUCAGGAUGUCUAGAAAUUGUUGAGCAGUUGAUAAAACAUGGUGCAAAUGUGAAUGCUGUGAAUGUCACCGGAGAAUCACUUCUUUACACAGCUAUGAAAAUUCGGAACAAAGAAGAGGUGCAAACACUUCUUCAUUUUGGAGCAGCUACAAAGAGUAUCAAUGAAAUAGGCAAUGAAAAUGAAACUGCACUUCACUUGGCAGUAAAAGCUAAAGAUGAAAAGUUUGUUCAGUUUCUCCUGGAUAUUGGUAUUGAUGUCAAUAUUUGCAAUGCAGAAGAUCUCACAGCUUUGUUUUAUGCUCGUGAUGGCACAAACAUAUCAAAUCUUUUAAUAGCAAAUAUAGCUCUGCUGAAGAUUAACAACUUUUUUGUCAGCCAAAGAAAUGAGAUUAUUAUAGAUGCCCUGGAAGAAUUUAAAUCACAUUUCUUGGUGUGUUUGAACGAGCUACUGAGCAUCAAGGAAGAGACAUGCUGCAAUACUUCACUCAUGAACUUUUUGGUCAAAGAUAUAUUUGCUUUGGCAAAAUUAGCUAGACACAAACAAGUGGUUGACAAGUUUAAGGCAAUUACAAAUGCAAAGAAUUAUCCCAUAUAUUUCAAGAAACUAGAAGAAAAUAUAGAAAAAGCUGCUGAUAGAUGGGAGUUGAUAAGACAAGUAAAGGAUCUUCUGUGUAAAUUGAAAUACUUUCAAUUACUAUACGAUGUGCUAGAUAACAUAGUAGAAAAUUUUUCAAAUGACGAAUUGAGCAAUUUUAUAGCUGCUAGUAAUACUGAAACGACGAUUUAAUGAGCCAUCAAAUGAAUGGCAGUAGAAUUAAUAAUGCUUUUAAUUUAUCUGUAAACUCAUGCUUUUAUUCAUCUAAUAUUAGAAAUAAAUAUCGCGUUCGAAGUGACGGCAAAAUUGAAUCUAGUCAUGAGAACAAAAGCAUAUUAUCAGUCAAGUGAAAAUCGCCGAAGUUCAGACGCGUAUCGUCGACAUGUCUCCAUGUCGGCAUUUCGGCAUGUGAAAUAACAAACAUUUUUCUAAAAUAAAUAAAAAAUUAAUCAUGUAUCUCGUAAUAUUAUGAAAAGUAAAAUAUUCUGCGUUAAAUUUUUCGUACAACGGGUACGAACGAAAUUUUCUGGUUGUCGCGACGUGACCAUAAAAUAAAAUCAAAGUACGUUAGAUAAGCAGCGUCAAAAUGUUCAAGUCCCUGGAGGCGGGCCUUUCCAAGAUCUGCAGCCUGAAUAAGGCUUUCAAUCUUUGUGGCCGGAGAUACUUGCGCGAACCCUUUCAGCCGCUCAAAAGGUGUCCGCGAUGGGUUUGUGUCGAAGACGCCGUGAAAGUCAUAAAUUCCGAGCAAUUGGUGUUUAUUCAAGGGGGAGCAGCUACUCCCAUGGAGUUAGUGCGAGCUAUGACAGAACAUGGUGUCUGUACUAAUCUUCGAGG